This 336-nucleotide unclassified non-coding RNA is filed under the name soil metagenome. Its description in RNAcentral is "partial contains 5.8S ribosomal RNA, internal transcribed spacer 2, and large subunit ribosomal RNA". The stretch from base 1 to 120 matches the Rfam family "5.8S ribosomal RNA", at positions 35 to 154 of the family's 154-position model. The record is from RNAcentral.
GAUGAAGAACGUAGCGAAAUGCGAUAAGUAAUGUGAAUUGCAGAAUUCAGUGAAUCAUCGAAUCUUUGAACGCACAUUGCGCCCGCCAGUAUUCUGGCGGGCAUGCCUGUUCGAGCGUCAUUUCAACCAUCAAGCCCCCGGCUUGUGUUGGGGACCUGCGGCUGCCGCAGGCCCUGAAAAGCAGUGGCGGGCUCGCUGUCACACCGAGCGUAGUAGAUUUUAUCUCGCUCAGGGCGUGCUGCGGGUUCCGGCCGUUAAACCACCUUCAUAACCCAAGGUUGACCUCGGAUCAGGUAGGAAGACCCGCUGAACUUAAGCAUAUCAAUAAGCGGAGGA